CUCGAGGGAGGACUCUCGCUAAUUCCAAGUCAGGAAGAGAAGAACAACCCCAGCAUUCUGGGCAUGAACAGAGAGCCAAGGAUCAUCUCCAGACAUCGAAGGGCAUCAUUAUCACGGAUAAGAACACAGAUGCUGGGGCUGGAGAGAUGGCGCAGAGGUUAAGAGCUGGCACUAAUCUUUCAGAGGACUGGAGUUUGGUUCCCAUCCCCAUGUUGGGCAGAUCAUGACGACCUGUGACUACAGCUUCAGAGGGCCUAGAACCUUCUUCUGGAGACCCUGCAUGCUCUGCCUUCAUGUGCUCCUUCCCCUAAGACACAGACGCCUUCCUAACCGUCUCUGGUGACAACAGGACAGGAACAUCACAGCUGUUUAUGUGCUAUGAUUUCCUAUGUGUGCACACAGGAAUAAGACUCUCUUGCCUUGCCCACAAACCACUCUUCACUCUUGGGAUGACCUUGCUCCAGCUGGGAUCAGAAGUUCUAGAGCAUUCUGGAAGACAAAAUGGGUAGCAAGUACAGAAGAGAGCUCCCAACUUCAUCACCACCGGGAAAAUGCAAAAUGCAACCAUGAGAUGCCACCUCUCAAACAUA
RNAcentral lists this long non-coding RNA (590 nucleotides) under Mus musculus (house mouse). Its description in RNAcentral is "RIKEN cDNA 1810053B23 gene". The record is from RNAcentral. Lineage: Eukaryota; Metazoa; Chordata; Mammalia; Rodentia; Muridae.